AAUCCCAUGGUCACAGGGGUCAUGGCUGCGGCUGGGCCCCCUGGAGUAAGGGGCCCGGUCACAGCUGUGACCCCUGCGACUGUGGU
This is a non-coding RNA of Pelobates cultripes (western spadefoot toad), 86 nucleotides long. Lineage: Eukaryota; Metazoa; Chordata; Amphibia; Anura; Pelobatidae. The record is from the annotation of a GenBank genome assembly.